AUCUCCUCAGAACAAAAACAAAACAAAAAAAAAAAAAAAGAAAAACGUGUGAUUGCGUCUAAUUUUUCUGCGGCUGACAUCAUCCUCUAAGCUCCCUGAAACGAGCCUCCAGAACCCUGAGUUAAGCUGGACUACCUGGAGAAAAGCCACGCAAGCACAGGGAAAAACUCCCUGAGCAUUCCUUGGGCCACGGUGAGCCACGUCAGACGGCAGCCAAACCAGUAUCACAGCUGUCCAAAACCUGCGAUCAUCACAAGCACGCAGGCCAUUUUAAGCAUCGUCACCUUGACCUUUGACCUUCAUUCAAGAGCCCCGUCAACGAUGUCAAUGUUUGAACUUCCUGAAUGGAGCGACCGGCGCAUCGCCUUGCAGCCUCUCGUCUGUGGUGAGCAUGAGUAAAUGUCUGUCAAGUGGAAUUCUACUGAAGAUUCGGCCCUUAGAGACCAGUGAAUGGGACAUGGAAAGACUUGAGCUUGGCUUCUUUUCAGCGCGCUCGCUUUUGUUGCAUCACGUCUCUCUUUUUUGUCCGAGUCCAAACGUCUCUUCAUUAAGCACCCAGGCGGCAAAAUGUCUCGACUUGACCGCUGUACAGUGGCUUACCAACCGCCCUCCUCAUACGGCCCCACAACUUUGGGAACACACCUAGACAAUCCAAUCCGUAGAAUAAACCCUUCACUUUUGAUUGACACUGCCAGAGACGGAGAGGUGCAGUAUUAAUAUUGCGGGUGUCACAUUGACCUCACAAGUGUUCUUCAUUCGGUGUUUGGUCUUUUGCCGUUAGCCCCAACGGACAGUCACCACCGCCCCCUGCUGGGAACGCAACGUCUGCAACCCAAUAGAUGGAUGGAUGAAAUGAGAUGCCGCAUGUUAUACAUUUUCACAGCCGUAAUGUGAUUCCGAGGGGAACAUAACUACGACUUGUGACAAAAAAUGAGUUGCCCCCCGCUGCUUAUAUAACUAAGCUUCGACUUUCUAAUGAGUCCAAUGCUUUUGUCAAUGUCGGGAAUGAAAAAGGAUGUGAGUGCAAGCAAAUAAGACACAGUCUUAGAAGUGAACCACCACACCAUCAUUUAACCAUUACGUUGAAGUCGAGGGACUCCGAAUGCCACUGCAGGCGCCAUAGCAACAUCGACACAAGGAGGAAAAAAA
This is a long non-coding RNA of Hippocampus comes (tiger tail seahorse), 1149 nucleotides long. RefSeq lists it as uncharacterized. NCBI's taxonomy places the organism in Eukaryota, Metazoa, Chordata, Actinopteri, Syngnathiformes, Syngnathidae. The transcript has 4 exons. The record is from RefSeq and is a predicted model, not a curated record.